This 70-nucleotide transfer RNA is filed under the name Songmachilis xinxiangensis. RNAcentral describes it as "tRNA-Met". The record is from RNAcentral. Lineage: Eukaryota; Metazoa; Arthropoda; Insecta; Archaeognatha; Machilidae.
AAAAAAGUAAGCUAAUAUAAGCUACUGGGCUCAUACCCCAUUUAUAGGAAUUAUACUGUCCUCUUUUUUA